UGACUUCGAAGAGAUCCUCCA
This 21-nucleotide non-coding RNA is filed under the name Rattus norvegicus (Norway rat). The record is from RNAcentral. Lineage: Eukaryota; Metazoa; Chordata; Mammalia; Rodentia; Muridae.